Molecule: long non-coding RNA, 2885 nt
Organism: Chinchilla lanigera (long-tailed chinchilla)
Lineage: Eukaryota; Metazoa; Chordata; Mammalia; Rodentia; Chinchillidae
Exons: 3
Source: RefSeq, a predicted model, not a curated record
AGGAGGGCAGCUAUAGUCCACACAGGGCAUCACUCCCAAUCUCAAAAUGCUCAGACUUAUGGUUUAGAUCAAGACUAUUUCCCAAAGGCCUCACACAUUCAUAGGCAGAGUUUUUGGAAGGUGACUGAAUCAUGCGGGUGAUGCAGCUGACUUGUUAGCAGGUAAGGUCUGGUCGGAAGAGGCGGGUCCCCUGGGGCGUGGCCUGGAAGAACAUAUCUCCCUCCCAGGCUUGUCCCUUAGCUUUCUGCUUCCUGGCCGCCGUGAUGUGAGCAGCUAUCCUCCGCCAGUCCCUCCCAUCCCGUUCUUCCUGCCUUGGAGCCAGCGGACAACGGGUGGAAAACAUGAACCAAAGUGAGGUUCUUUUAUUGAAGCUGUGUGCGUCUGGUAAUGGGUCUUAGUGAUGAGAAUGUGACUAAGACACAGGCACUAAAAACCCCUUCACCUCCUGCAGCCUGUUGGUUUGGUCCAUCAGUCACCGGAUCCUUACCAAGCAGAAGUGUCUUGUGGAUACAUCCCAAAGAGGGUGCCCUAAUCUAAAGAGGCAGAGAAGUUUCCAGAUGGUUCUUGUUAUUCUCUCCUUCCUGACUUGACCCAGCGUUCAGAACAGCAGCAAGGGACAGCACUGAUGUGACGUCACCGUGGGCAGAGCGGAGGAGUUGUGUGUCCUCCUGGGGUGGCUCUGCCUGGCAGCAGUCCCCAUCGCCCAGCUCCGGGGCUGCCUCCCACGGUAGCCUCACAGCGAGCUGCUGCUCCUGAAGGUGCCCUCUGGACUCACUCGCAUGAAGGGUCCCCUCAGGUCCAGGCUCUGGUGGCCUGAAAGGAGGCUUCGCGAAGGGAUGAAGUUGAGAAAAAUUACGAGACACCCACGCAUGUGUGUCCUUCCAAAUCAUCACUGUGGGUCUCCUAGAAUAGUGGAAGGAAAUGGGCAUCUCUGACAUGCGUGUCAGUGUUCUUAGAGGUGACUAUGUUACAGGUGACUGUUGCUUGUAGCUGCUACUCAUCCCAGUCCUCCCUUUCUAGUAGAACCCCUGGGGCACAGGGCAGCAGCAGCAGACCCUGAAAAACAUACUCUCCCAGCCAAGGGACACAAACACCUCUGUGGAUGGGGUUUGCAAGGAAGCUUCUGGAAAAGUGAACUCUUUGAAGCUUUGGCUUGGACUUCCUCCUCCACCGUGCCUAGCAGGUAGUCACCCCCAUGCCAGACAUGGAGCUGCCUUCUUAUGCACACAGGAUUGAGACCCAGCCAAGCUAUGAGAAGGAACGGUGGCUCCUGUCUCCUGGCAGCCUUCGUUCUGCCCUGGAAGCUUCUGGCUUUGAGAACACACAUGCAACUGGAGAAAAACCGGCCCCUAUUCAGUAAGUGGCUGUGCUUAGUCCAAAAAACAGACAUUCUGCUCAGUGCAACAACAAACAAAGAAAAUUUAUAAAAUGUAGAGCAAUAGGUUUUUUCCUGAACCGCCCCCCAAAGAUAUGUUGGAACCUCAGGUUGUGAACUUACCUGGAAUAAUAAGGAUCUUUGCAACUAUAAUUCAGGUAAGGAUCUUGAGGUGAGUCACUCUUGAAUUAGGAUGGGCCCUGAAUCCAAUGACAGGUAUCCCCAUAAGAGGCAGAAAAGAAGACAAGGGAAGAUGGAAGGAGAUAAAGGCAGAGAUUGGAAGGAUGGGGCCACAAGCUGAGGAAUGCAGGAACCGACCCCAGAGCCUUUAAAGGGAUGGAGGCUCCUUUGUCAUCUGGAUUUAUUUCAUAUUUAUGGCCUCCAGAACUUAGAAAAUAAAUUUCUGUCAUUUGUCAUUUGUUACAGCAGUCCUAGGAAACGAAUACUUGUGGGAAAAAGUGUCCUCAGAGGAUAACCAGAGGAGUUCUCUGGUUAAAGAACCAGACAGACAGGUACCAAAUUAGAAUAGUGACAACCACCGUCGCUGAGCACGGCUUUGCUGCAUUCCGUCCCCUCACCCUCUCAGCAGGUCUGGAGAGUGAGGAGGAGAAGUUGGUGGCAGGUGCUUGGUCCCAGUGGCACCGGGCCAGAAGAAAGGGCCCGGGAGGAUUGUCCUCCGGUAUGGGACGGUGAGUGGGACCAGAACAUGACAGCUGGGUUGACUGAGUUUUGCACUGGAGAGCAGGAGGCGUUUGAAGGGCGCCCCCUGCUGGCCUCUUUCCCUUCCUGCCACUUGUGCUGCGCUGUAGGAAUCGCAGGGAAACCUUUGGACUCCGGUCCUUGCAAAGGGCUGGGCGCUGGGAGACACUGCACCAACACAGCGUUGGCCUGCGGCUUCUCCCUGGUUGCUCUGACACCAGAGCCCAAGCUAAGCGGUUCUGCUCCACGGGGUCACAAUAGCCCAGACGUGCAUCCAGGCACAGGGACAUAAAGGAGAUCGCAACGACCUCUCUGCAGCCUCCUACCCCGUGCGGCCGCUUCAGGUCGUGCUGGGAGACGCAGAUCGUUCUAGCUCCUUCUGCAUUCACCACCGCACCUGUGGUGCCGACCUGGACUCGUGCCAGUGAGGAACCGGUUCGCCUUGCGACUGCUCUGGCUCCUCCAGGUCUCAGGCCACUUGUCACCCUCUCCCAUAACGCUCACAUCUGCUAACUCUCAAGAAUCGAGCGGAGGGCAAUCAUCUCCGCAGAGCGCUCCAGAGACCAUCCUGCGAUGGCUGAGAAACUCGCCCAGCCGGCCAGCGCCAGAUGAGAAAUUGCUUCGCCUCAGCGGUUCUGCAAAAUUCAGUGCUUUUUGCUGGAGCCGAGGGUCAGUUUUUGGAAAGUUUCUUGCAUGAUCAUCACAAAUCGCCACCUGGUCUGAAUUGCCUGGGAGAUCAUUGAGGGGGGAUCUGGGAUCAGGCCCUGCUCUUGUUUAGGAAAGAUCCUUCUAGAAUGUGAAUACUACAGAG